CGGAGGCACGGCGCGGGGAGCCGUGUGGUGGGGGGUUGAGGGCAGGGCAGGAGCAGCGGAAAUGCGAGGCGGCGGCGGGCGGCGGAUCGGGGCGGGUGGUGCAAGUGUGCAGCAGCAGCGAGCAAACGAUGGGAUGGGAAAAAGGAAAUGGCGUCCGCGUGCGUGAAUCGCCUUUUUCCGCCUUCCGUUGGGAGGGGGAGGGGGGGGAGGGAGCCUCGCGACAACGGCGCAGAGAAAGAGGAGAGGAGAGGAGAGGAGAGUGACCCUGCAUCAGCUUGGCUGCGUUACCAAGACGGGGACGAAAG
This 305-nucleotide long non-coding RNA is filed under the name Oryza brachyantha (malo sina). RNAcentral's name for it is "long non-coding RNA (OBRA_LNC000532)". Lineage: Eukaryota; Viridiplantae; Streptophyta; Magnoliopsida; Poales; Poaceae. The record is from RNAcentral.